GCANCCAUGUCUUGGAAUUGGAAUGAGUNCCAUCUAAAACCCCUAACGAGGAUCCAUUGGAGGGCAAGUCUGGUGCCAGCAGCCGCGGUAAUUCCAGCUCCAAUAGCGUAUAUUUCAGUUGCUGCAGUUAAAAAGCUCGUAGUUGGAUUUCUGCGUCAACGGCACCUGGUCCGGUCGCGACUUUGUGUCCGACUGAGUACCGCGCGUGUCGUUCGCAUCCUUCUGUGGUGACGUGUCUACCCUUCACUGGGCCGGGCAUCGUCGCUCAGAUCGUUUA
RNAcentral lists this ribosomal RNA (277 nucleotides) under uncultured Cercozoa. RNAcentral's name for it is "partial 18S ribosomal RNA". It matches the Rfam family "Eukaryotic small subunit ribosomal RNA", at positions 492 to 754 of the family's 1831-position model. Lineage: Eukaryota; Cercozoa. The record is from RNAcentral.